GGGAAGAUGACUGAGUUGGUUUAAGGUGAUAGUUUGUAAAAUUAUUGUUUGUAAAACAUCGUAGGUUCAAAUCCUACUCUUCCCA
Molecule: transfer RNA, 85 nt
Filed under: Paravannella minima
Lineage: Eukaryota; Discosea; Flabellinia; Vannellidae
Description: tRNA-Tyr
Rfam family: tRNA
About the family: Transfer RNA (tRNA) molecules are approximately 80 nucleotides in length.
Source: RNAcentral